CCCCAACCAAACCCACACUCUCACAUCCACAAGCGCAUGCCUGUUUCUUCUCCCAAAUCCACCGCUGCGUUCGUCGAUCCGCGGCGCCGGCCGCGCCGCACUCCGCGAGCGCCUGCUUGUCUCCCCAGCCGGCGUCAGGGGCCAAGGUGACAGAUCCACAGGCUUCUCCCCCGCCCCAGAUUUUCGCUCGCCGAAUCCGUCGGCUCCUUGCUGCCGUCGUCUUCGCGGUCGCCGCGAUUCUCGACUCCGGCGACCUCCUCCUAGCCUCCCGCGACAAGGCCGUGUCCGUGUUGGCCGCCUUCGCGUCCUCCGAAGGCGAGCGCGCACCCAUCUCCACGAGGAAGGCGAGCGCGCACCACCCCCACGCUCCUCGUUCAGUGGCGCUGGCACCGACGCCGUUGUAGCGGGCCUCUUCCUCUCAAGCAUCUCGCCGCAGGCCACAUCAGGGAUGGCCUCGACCUCCUGCUGCUAGCUGCUGGUGCUGGCUGUAGCUUGAACUGGAGGUCUGGAGCAGAAAAAUUGCACCGAGGUAGCAGGUGGAUGAUGGUGUUGGUGCCUUUCUCUUGAAUUGUUGCUGGUGAUGGCUGCAAUUUAAAGGAGUAUUUUUUUCCUUUCUCUCCUUCCAUUUCUGUAAUUGUGCUUUCCCUAUGCGUGAUGAUGUUUCUUAGCACAAGGUGCAUUGGCUUGGGUUGAUCUGCUGUGAUAGUUCGGAGAGAUGAUAGUAGCAAGUAUAAACUCUCUACUAUGAUUAUAUUCAUAACACAUGGCAAAAAAGAGACUGCAUUAUUAAGUAAUCUGUUGUUUCGUUAUCAUUCUAAUUCUUUUUUAGCCACUAUACAUGUGUCAUGUAUGAGAACUUGAUAGAUAUUUGCUUAUCUGUGUCCAAGUGAUUACAGCAUAUAAUAAAGCGGGGAAAACAAGAUUUAUAUUGAGCAUUGUUUUUAAGGCGGUAAGGCGAGCACCACCCGCUCUAGCACCUAGGCGACGCCUAAGGCGGGCAUAUUUGUAAGGCGCUGCCCAGGCGCCUUAUCGCUUAAGCGUCGCCUAAGCGUCCAAUGCAGGACGCCUUAAAAACAAUGAUAUUGAGCUAUUAUACUCAUUUCUUCUAUUGGACUUGCUCAAACUUGCAUGAUUUUUUUGUUAGUAGUUGCCUUGUUCCUGCUAUUGGACUUGCUUAAUGGGUCGACGGGCUGUUUGUAUCCACUAUUUUAUUUUCUUCGGAAAGCAAGCUAAUGAGUUGGCUGCAGAAUCUAUGGAAAUUGUCUACAAACCCAGUAUGAGUUGCUGCCUUUUAAUCCCUUCUCUAAAGAAAACCUGGUUUGCUUGGAUAUAGUAUGCAAUUUGCUUAGAUUAGAGCACAACUUGCCUGCAAUAACUAAAGCAUUUGUCCAUGGGACACAACACAACUUGAUGUUCCGCAUAAUAUAGGUCCACAUUUACUUGCCUGAAACUUGUAUGCAAAUUGCCUACAAACCAAGUUGUAGUUGCUCCUGACUUUCGCUAUUUAUUUUAAUUCGGCUAGCAAGCUGAUGAGGUUGCUACAUUAUCUAUGGAAAUUGCCUACAAACCCAAUACGAGUUGCUACCUUUCAAUCAUUUUUCAUAUGUGGUGCAUAUACUGGUUAGUAGUCUCCAUGUGUUUGUUAUUUUUUCAUAAUAAUUGCCUCAAAUUUCGUAUGUAGUUGCCUCAAAUAACACAUGAACCUUGCUCUUCAUUUAUUUUCCUUAACAUUUCAUAAUAAUUGGUGUAAUUUUAUACUUGAAGUUUAAAUGUGACAACACAUUAUCAUUGUAUGUUUUAUCUCUUGUUUUGCUACAUUGGGAUUUUUUUAAUUGGGGGUGCCAAAUGGGGGUAUUCUCCCCCCUGUUUUUUACAGCCACGUGCUUUCAUUUUUGAGGCGCCUCAUGUCAACGACAACACAUGCCUCAGAUGAUUUUGUCCAUGAUGAUCUGGUAGGAACUAAUGGAUGAACCAAGCAAAAAUGGCAUUCAAGAAGAUCAUUAUGCAGUUAAUCGUGAUGCUGAUCCCUCACAUGUGAUUGAAGAUCAUCACGAGGGCCAGAGAAGCACACCCUUUAUUGGGUACCAGCAUUGAGGAAGAAAGGAGAUUGCUGCCAGUGGCAAACGUCUGUUGGACAUCAACAGCAAUUCGAGUGUUUCCACAUAUGGUGAUUGAAAUUCUAAGAAAGACACUGUCGUGGAACAACCAUCAAAAGCAAAAUGUCAAAAGACCGGAUCUAACGAGGAAAUACACAUGUUUCAUCUGUUGUAUUUUUCUUCUAGAAUAAGAGAACAGGGCAUCGCCUGCAAGGCUUUUCAAGCUGAAUAAACUUCUUGUACCUGUUCAACAAGGCCAAGCUCAAGUCACUUUCAGUCAAUUUCUGACACCAGCCUUGUGCAGAUCAUGGGGAAAGGGAAAGGAAGGCUUGUGUUCUUCAGUAACCCAGGGGACAAGGAUGAAAGAGGCACACAAUCAUGGGGGAAAGUGAAAGCUAAAUCUGACCUUUUUCUGUGCUUUUUCUACCCUUAGUCAAUAGGAAUUGCCUGGAGAACAAAUCCUAAACCAAGCACCAUUGGAGGAUUGUGGAGAGUUUUCUGUAUCUGGGAGUUGUCCCUUUGUGGGUUGGGAGAGAAGAAGAUGGGGCUGGGCGAUUUGGUGGGGAGAAGCCCAGGGGGUAGAGGAGGGAAACACGUGGGGAGGGAGGAUCAGGUGAGUUCUGUGGCUCGAUGGUGCGAGGAAUCGGGAGCGGGGGCAGGUACUUUCCUAUCCUAGACAGGGGGGACAGAAAAUUACUAUUUUGGAAGGGCUGCUAGGGAACGCUAGGGAGCAGCCGGCUGCUCCCUAGACGCGUCCUUUUUUGAAAUUACAAAAAGAUCUGAAAAAUUAAAAUAUAAAGAUAAAAUAAAGAAAAAUACAAAAAUUGGGAAUAGACAGACUCUUGAAUACGUACAUAUUUUCAUUUUUUUUGUUUCUAUCUCUGCCUUCAUUUACAUGUUUCUUAUUUUCCUUUUCUUUCCGAAUUUGUGUUUUACUUUGACCGCCAGAAAAAGACAGAUAGAAACGAAAAAACAUGAAAAAAAAUGGGCGUCCCAGUCAGGGGCACCCCUGUGCGAUGGCGCCGGCAAUGAACUGAGAAUACGGUUUUCCAACAGAAUAUUGUACGUUUUUUAAGACAAAGCAAAAUACUCAGUACGUACGUAGUCCUAGAGUCUGUCUGAUUCCCAAAUUCUGAACGUGGGCCUUAUUUGAGUUUCUGUUUGUUGGCGACUAGGAGGAGGCGAUCCGACUUGAUUUGCCUCGCGGCCAACCGGAGAUAUAUUAUUUUUCUUUCCUUCCAUGGAUUCUUUGGUCAAGAAUUGUCUUAGAUUUUUCUAAUAAGAAUGUGCACGGUCUAGUUCAGUAUGGAAUGAACUUAUAAUCUGAUGAUCGAGUUGACAGGGUAGAGGCUCUCUUAUCCAAUUAUUAUCCUAAAUAGGUUUGCUUUUUUUUACUUGUCUGCUCUAUUAAUGCAGAAAUAAGUAAAAAAGUAUAAUUAGAUCUAUCUCGAAUUUUUAAGAACCCUAGGGGCUGUGCGGCAGAUCACACAAUCAAUUCCCCACCCCUCGAAAAAUAAAAGGAUAAUACAAUCGACGAAACCACGGACGACGAUGGGAUCCUUCUUCUCUUCCCCCGGUGCUGACCCUCUCUCUCUCUCUCUCUCAAUUUAGUUUAGUUAUUAUUACUGAAUUGAAUCUGCAUAUCGUAGUACUUGUGUUCGUGUGUACAUGCACGUUAACGUAUAUAAUGGUGACAGUAAGCGUGAUGCCCUCGGUGCCAACAUGUACACCAUCUUUGCCCUCGGCCAUUACAACUCCAGGAACCCGGAUACUAUGUUCUAUCCUGCUGCGGAGCCCAUGGAAGAGCCCAGGGCCGCCUGCGUCGGCUUCAGGCAGGACUUCUGGUACCAUGUCGGCUUCUGGGCCCGGCCGAGGGAUGCCACUGACCACAAUGAACAAAAGUACUUCUUUGCCGAGCUGCGUUUCGAGCGCCGCUCUAGACGGCUGGUGGUCGAGACAUGCACCCUCUUGGAAAAGCCGAUGUGCCAUUUCAAGAGUAGGUGCGCGUUCUGCCCGGAUAGAUUCCAGAUCUUGCAUCCGAGUGAUGUUGAAGAGUUUACUUGUGGGAAGAAAAGGCACAAAAAGAAGUUCUUCAGGGAGAGAAAUAUGCUUGGCAGGCCUUUCAUGCUUAGAUAGUCACGCCAAACUUAGCUAAGCACUGUUUUGUUACCUUGUACUUAUUGCUUGUUCAGUUUAUUGUUUAUGAGAGUUGAAAAAGUGUAAGAUAGCGUUGACGUUACUACCGGAUUACUUUUUGGUUGUUGUAUACUUCACCAAUGCUCAAGACUGAUCCCGCUAUUAGUAUUGAUGGGUUGGGCCAA
Molecule: long non-coding RNA, 4417 nt
Organism: Triticum dicoccoides
Lineage: Eukaryota; Viridiplantae; Streptophyta; Magnoliopsida; Poales; Poaceae
Exons: 8
Source: RefSeq, a predicted model, not a curated record